Molecule: ribosomal RNA, 835 nt
Filed under: uncultured bacterium
Lineage: Bacteria
Description: bacterial SSU rRNA
Rfam family: Bacterial small subunit ribosomal RNA
Source: RNAcentral
GAUGAACGCUGGCGGCGUGCCUAAUACAUGCAAGUCGAACGCUUCACAUAUGUGAGGAGUGGCGAACGGGUGAGUAAUACAUAAGUAACCUGGCCUUUACAGGGGGAUAACUGUUGGAAACGAUAGCUAAGACCGCAUAGGUGUGAUAACCGCAUGGAGAUGACAUGAAAUAUGCUACGGCAUAGGUAGAGGAUGGACUUAUGGCGCAUUAGCUAGUUGGAGGGGUAACGGCCCACCAAGGCGACGAUGCGUAGCCGACCUGAGAGGGUGACCGGCCACACUGGGACUGAGACACGGCCCAGACUCCUACGGGAGGCAGCAGUAGGGAAUUUUCGGCAAUGGGGGAAACCCUGACCGAGCAACGCCGCGUGAAGGAAGAAGUAAUUCGUUAUGUAAACUUCUGUCAUAGAGGAAGAACGGUGCGUGUAGGGAAUGACAUGCAAGUGACGGUACUCUAUAAGAAAGCCACGGCUAACUACGUGCCAGCAGCCGCGGUAAUACGUAGGUGGCGAGCGUUAUCCGGAAUUAUUGGGCGUAAAGAGGGAGCAGGCGGCACUAAGGGUCUGUGGUGAAAGAUCGAAGCUUAACUUCGGUAAGCCAUGGAAACCGUAGAGCUAGAGUGUGUGAGAGGAUCGUGGAAUUCCAUGUGUAGCGGUGAAAUGCGUAGAUAUAUGGAGGAACACCAGUGGCGAAGGCGACGAUCUGGCGCAUAACUGACGCUCAGUCCCGAAAGCGUGGGGAGCAAAUAGGAUUAGAUACCCUAGUAGUCCACGCCGUAAACGAUAAAUGGUAAGUGUUGGGAGUCAAAUCUCAGUGCUGCAGUAACGCAAUAAGU